Molecule: ribosomal RNA, 253 nt
Filed under: uncultured bacterium
Lineage: Bacteria
Description: partial 16S ribosomal RNA
Rfam family: Bacterial small subunit ribosomal RNA
Source: RNAcentral
UACGUAGGGGGCGAGCGUUGUCCGGAUUUAUUGGGCGUAAAGAGCGUGUAGGCGGCCAGGUAGGUCUGCUGUGAAAACUCGAGGCUCAACCUCGAGACGUCGGCGGAAACCAUCUGGCUAGAGUCCGGAAGAGGCGAGUGGAACUCCUGGUGUAGCGGUGGAAUGCGCAGAUAUCAGGAGGAAUACCGAUGGCGAAGGCAGGUCUCUGGGCUAACACUGACGCUCAUGCACGAAAGCGUGGGGAGCAAACAGG